AACGAACGCUGGCGGCAUGCCUAACACAUGCAAGUCGAACGAAGCCUUCGGGCUGAGUGGCGCACGGGUGCGUAACGCGUGGGAAUCUGCCCUUUGGUUCGGAAUAACAGUUGGAAACGACUGCUAAUACCGGAUGGUGACGAAAGUCCAAAGAUUUAUCGCCAGAGGAUGAGCCCGCGUAGGAUUAGCUAGUUGGUGUGGUAAAGGCGAACCAAGGCGACGAUCCUUAGCUGGUCUGAGAGGAUGAUCAGCCACACUGGGACUGAGACACGGCCCAGACUCCUACGGGAGGCAGCAGUGGGGAAUAUUGGACAAUGGGCGAAAGCCUGAUCCAGCAAUGCCGCGUGAGUGAUGAAGGCCCUAGGGUUGUAAAGCUCUUUUACCCGGGAUGAUAAUGACAGUACCGGGAGAAUAAGCCCCGGCUAACUCCGUGCCAGCCGCCGCCGUAA
This 449-nucleotide ribosomal RNA is filed under the name uncultured bacterium. Its description in RNAcentral is "partial 16S ribosomal RNA". It matches the Rfam family "Bacterial small subunit ribosomal RNA", at positions 29 to 523 of the family's 1533-position model. The record is from RNAcentral.